This 280-nucleotide long non-coding RNA is filed under the name Capsicum annuum. RNAcentral describes it as "long non-coding RNA (CANN_LNC011525)". Lineage: Eukaryota; Viridiplantae; Streptophyta; Magnoliopsida; Solanales; Solanaceae. The record is from RNAcentral.
GCCGCCAACGGAGUCCAAAUAGAAGUGAUCUCUUUCUAGUAAUUAAAAUGUAUUUUAAGAUAGGUUAAUUCUGUCAAAAAUUUAUCUUUUCUCUUAUGGCCAAACAAUUCUAGUUAUUGAAUUUAUUAAUAGAAUCUUGGCACCUUCCAACACUUUCUCUUUCCCAAUGGAAAAACUAGUCAUAUUUAGCUUCAUGAUACUUGUAUUCACAAUGCAUGAUUGAAAGGUCCAGCACUUUUUAUGCUAAGGUAAUUUUUUAUCACACUAACAAAAUUAUUGC